UACAGAGGUCCCGAGCGUUGUUCGGAUUCACUGGGCGUAAAGGGUGCGUAGGUGGUGAGGUAAGUCGGAUGUGAAAUCUCCGAGCUCAACUCGGAAAUGGCAUUGGAAACUACCUUGCUAGAGGGUUGGAGGGGGGACUGGAAUACUUGGUGUAGCAGUGAAAUGCGUAGAUAUUCGCAAGAACACCAGUGGCGAAGGCGGCUCACUGGCCCGAUACUGACGCUGAGGCACGAAAGCGUGGGGAGCAAACAGG
RNAcentral lists this ribosomal RNA (253 nucleotides) under uncultured bacterium. Its description in RNAcentral is "partial 16S ribosomal RNA". It matches the Rfam family "Bacterial small subunit ribosomal RNA", at positions 524 to 776 of the family's 1533-position model. The record is from RNAcentral.